This is a long non-coding RNA of Myzus persicae (green peach aphid), 613 nucleotides long. RefSeq lists it as uncharacterized. NCBI's taxonomy places the organism in Eukaryota, Metazoa, Arthropoda, Insecta, Hemiptera, Aphididae. The record is from RefSeq and is a predicted model, not a curated record. The transcript has 4 exons.
AGACGGAUUUUGUUGUGUACGAAUUUUGGUUAUAAAUUGUUUUGAGAAAUAAUCCUGAUUAUAAUAUUCAUCAAUAUUUACCAUCGCAGUACUACAUUCGCAAUUAAAAAUGUUAUAUUUGACACAUAUUGUGAAUUUUGAAAGCCAUGCACAAUUUAUGGUUUGAUACGUGUACACUACGAUAUUUUGUAAUUAAACAAUCUUAGCAGUAUUAUCUCGAUCACGCCACGCUGCCGCCGCCGCCCCACUUAACACUUGUUGAUGGAAGUGUAUAUAAAGGCGUCCGAGAUCUUGAUUCCGGCAUAACACAUCUUUUUGUGAUCUAUUCUUUGUUUUCACUUUAAUCCUCAAAAACCAACCAAAAACCAAAAAUGGGCGCUGAAAAAGUAACCAUGAACAUCGUUGUCGUUGGACAAGUCCAAUCUGCCAAGGCCAUCAAAUCGGUCGCCAAAGCCACCCCAGCCACCAGCCAAUUGAUGAACUGCUAAUUUAUGUAGUCCAUACAUUCCAAAACUCAAAAAUGCCAUAGUCCAAACAAUACAAUAAUAUGUAACUCAUAAUAUCAGUAUUGCCAUCGCAAAAUAAAUCAGUCAUUUCCGAUGUACCAACACAA